GAGAUCAAAGAAUCACCCUCGGUUGUUGGUUAAAUUAUUAUCUUGUCAAUCAGGAUUUUGGCGAAAUCUAAUGCUGUUAAACACCCGAUAAAUCAAUCAAUUCAAUAGUGAUAAUGGAGAGGAUGAUGAGUAAAAAGAAAGGGUUAACUACCGCA
This 155-nucleotide small RNA is filed under the name Yersinia bercovieri. Its description in RNAcentral is "KatA 5' UTR thermometer". It matches the Rfam family "KatA 5' UTR thermometer". Rfam says of the family: Involved in protection against oxidative stress. Lineage: Bacteria; Pseudomonadati; Pseudomonadota; Gammaproteobacteria; Enterobacterales; Yersiniaceae. RNAcentral also lists the same sequence under 1 other name. The record is from RNAcentral.